This 76-nucleotide transfer RNA is filed under the name Patescibacteria group bacterium. Its description in RNAcentral is "tRNA-Asp". It matches the Rfam family "tRNA". Rfam says of the family: Transfer RNA (tRNA) molecules are approximately 80 nucleotides in length. Their secondary structure includes four short double-helical elements and three loops (D, anti-codon, and T loops). The record is from RNAcentral.
UGGGGUGAUAGCUCAACUGGUUAGAGCAUCCGCCUGUCACGCGGAAGGUUGAGGGUUCGAAUCCCUUUCAUCCCGU